RNAcentral lists this long non-coding RNA (1513 nucleotides) under Homo sapiens (human). Its description in RNAcentral is "non-protein coding SNHG1:38". The stretch from base 254 to 322 matches the Rfam family "Small nucleolar RNA SNORD25". The record is from RNAcentral. Lineage: Eukaryota; Metazoa; Chordata; Mammalia; Primates; Hominidae.
CUCAUUUUUCUACUGCUCGUGGUAAGUGGCUUCGUGGUCUUUAUAGCUGUUACUCUUUUGUACUUUGUCUUUUUCUUUUAUUUUCUUUUGAGCGAUUGUGCGAACAUAGCAUAGCACGCACUAUGCCUUCUGUGUUGUAGCUGCCUGGCCAGGGCGACUGGCGGAUAAGGUCUUGUGCGUGGCCUCGAGGCUUAAAAGUAGCAGUGGGGCUUUGUGAAGGACAAAAUGGCGAUGGCGGGCCGUGUAGGUCCCCCUUCCUAUGAUGAGGACCUUUUCACAGACCUGUACUGAGCUCCGUGAGGAUAAAUAACUCUGAGGAGAUGGGCCCUGCAAGCCUCUUGCUUAGCCGUCUGUUCAGAAAAUAGCGUUUUCGAAAUGCCCUGAGUUGACCUAAUGUCUUAUUGGGCUCCUGUCUGCAGGAUUUACGCGCACGUUGGAACCGAAGAGAGCUCUGUUGUUGCAAUGUUCAGCCCACAAGAGCUUACUGGUGAAGGAAUGGGACAAGACCCAUCUUUAUGCAAAGCCAGCGUUACAGUAAUGUUCCAGCAUCUCAUAAUCUAUCCUGGGGAAUUCAGCUGCCUCCCAGGGUGAAUACAGGUAUUCCUGAUGACAGUCUGCCUCUAUCUUACAGAGCAGCUUGUUGCUAUAUACCAUUGAAAAGCCUUCAGAGCUGAGAGGUACUACUAACCAAUAACCUGCUUGGCUCAAAGGGCCAGCACCUUCUCUCUAAAGCCCAAGAGGAGUUUGAGGAAAACUAGGUGUCUGUGUUCACUCCAGGCUGAAGUUACAGGUCUGAGCAAAUAAGGUGUAUAAAAAAUGGAAUCUGUCUUGGAGGACAUCAGAAGGUGAAUUUUCCAAGUUCUUGGACAACCUAGCUGUUGAAAAGCUUUCUGGGUUUGGGGGGUAUUUCAGAUGUACCUUAAAGUGUUAGCAGACACAGAUUAAGACACUGGGAGCCAAUGAAACAGCAGUUGAGGGUUUGCUGUGUAUCACAUUUCUGUAUUUUAUCACCCCCUUCCUGCAACAUUAUUUAUCUGGAAUCUACCUGCCCUUUUGUUUUUUAGAUACAAGGGCUUGGUUUUGUUACCCAGGCUGGUUUCAAGGCCAUAGCUUUAAGAGAUCCUCUCACCACAGAUUUCCAAAGUGCUGGGAUUGCAGGUGUGAUUCAUGGCACCCAGACUUUGCUGCCUUUCUUACAUGAUCCAGGCCCAGAACCCAAACUCAGGCACUGUAUAGAUGACCACUUUCGUAAACUACUGACCUAGCUUGUUGCCAAUUGUUGAUUGAACUUCCCAUAACUCCACUUCGUGUCUGUUCCUCUGUAUACAGCCACCUUCUGUUCCCGUCAUGAGCCUUUAGGUCUCCAUUUGCAUAUUGCAAAUACUAUGUUCCAUGUAGGUAGCUCAUUCAGGGCCUUGCUCUUCACUUCAAAAAAGGUUCCCUUGAGGACUGGCUGUCAAUUUGUGUUGCUGUGUUGGUUGUUGAUGAAAAUAAUAAAAUGAUUGAUUACAUA